GAGAUAUUGAGCUUUUGGAGAAAAGUGUCCCAAGAAACCUACUUGGCAGCUGGCAAUUUUUUGCUAAGGGCCUGAGGAAGAAGACCUAAGAUGUGGGACAGGACCAUGCUGAGAUACCUGCUGCAGGGCCUGACUAUAUUCUUGCUAGGCGUGACCUGCGGUGCCGCCUCCAUGGGAGCAGUGGUACAUGUUGUGCCCCUGCAAGCUACCGAAGGAAAAACAGUGAGGGCACAUUUCAGUGUGAUUGUGUCCAAUCCUUGCCCAGAUUUGUCUGACGUGUGUGCCACAGGAGAGGAC
This is a long non-coding RNA of Lampris incognitus (smalleye Pacific opah), 297 nucleotides long. RefSeq lists it as uncharacterized. The record is from RefSeq and is a predicted model, not a curated record. The transcript is spliced from 3 exons. Lineage: Eukaryota; Metazoa; Chordata; Actinopteri; Lampriformes; Lampridae.